This 388-nucleotide ribosomal RNA is filed under the name uncultured soil bacterium. RNAcentral's name for it is "bacterial SSU rRNA". It matches the Rfam family "Bacterial small subunit ribosomal RNA", at positions 26 to 407 of the family's 1533-position model. The record is from RNAcentral.
AGAUUGAACGCUGGCGGCAGGCCCAACACAUGCAAGUCGAGCGGUAGAGAGGUGCUUGCAUCUCUUGAGAGCGGCGGACGGGUGAGUAAUGCCUAGGAAUCUGCCUAGUGGUGGGGGAUAACGUUCGGAAACGGACGCUAAUACCGCAUACGUCCUACGGGAGAAAGCGGGGGACCUUCGGGCCUCGCGCCAUUAGAUGAGCCUAGGUCGGAUUAGCUAGUUGGUGAGGUAAUGGCUCACCAAGGCGACGAUCCGUAACUGGUCUGAGAGGAUGAUCAGUCACACUGGAACUGAGACACGGUCCAGACUCCGUACGGGACGCAAGCGAGGUAGGGGAAUAGUGGACAAGUGGGACGAAAGCCUAGAUCCAGCCAUCGCCGCGUGUAGU